Molecule: ribosomal RNA, 474 nt
Filed under: uncultured bacterium
Lineage: Bacteria
Description: bacterial SSU rRNA
Rfam family: Bacterial small subunit ribosomal RNA
Source: RNAcentral
GAUGAACGCUAGCGGCAGGCUUAAUACAUGCAAGUCAAGGGGGUAGCAAUACAACCGGCGCACGGGUGAGUAACGCGUACACAACAUGCCAUAUACUGGGGUAUAGCUUUGGGAAACUGAAGGUAAUCCCCCAUAGUAUUGCGGGUAGGCAUCUAUCUGCAAUUAAAGUUUCGACGGUAUAUGAUUGGUGUGCGUUCCAUUAGCUAGUUGGUAGGGUAACGGCCUACCAAGGCGAAGACGGGUAGGGGACCUGAGAGGGUGACCCCCCACAAUGGAACUGAAACACGGUCCAUACACCUACGGGUGGCAGCAGUAGGGAAUAUUAGAAAUGGACGAAAGUCUGAUCUAGCAACACCGCGUGUGCGAAGAAGGCCUUCGGGUCGUAAAGCACUUUUUGGAAGGAAUAGGAAGGAAUGUACUUCCAGAAUAAGUCUCGGCUAACUACGUGCCAGCAGCCGGGUAAGCUAGUCUACG